CGUGCGAAGGUAGCGUAAUCACUUGUUCUUUAAAUGAGGACUAGUAUGAAUGGCCCCACGAGGGCUGCACUGUCUCCUUUUUCUAAUCAAUGAAACUAAUCUCCCCGUGAAGAAGCGGGGAUAACCAUAUAAGACGAGAAGACCCUAUGGAGCUUUAAACAACUGAAACAAUUGCUUUUCCUUUAGCUUCUCCCGAGCUCUUUAUUUUACCUAAGCAUCUUUAUUUCUAGUUUUAGGUUGGGGUGACCACGGAGCAAAACUAAACCUCCAUGAAGAAACAAGUAUUUUUAAGCUACAAACUACUUUUUUAAGCAUCAACAAAUUGACCUUCAUUGACCCAAUAUAUUGAUCAACGAACCAAGUUACCCUAGGGAUAACAGCGCAAUCUACUUCAAGAGCUCAUAUCGACAAGUAGGUUUACGACCUCGAUGUUGGAUCAGGGUGUCCUAGUGG
Molecule: ribosomal RNA, 453 nt
Filed under: Ameerega hahneli
Lineage: Eukaryota; Metazoa; Chordata; Amphibia; Anura; Dendrobatidae
Description: partial 16S ribosomal RNA
Rfam family: Bacterial large subunit ribosomal RNA
Source: RNAcentral